CUAUGCCGCCGGCUAGUUACGAAUCCAGGAGAUAACUCGGGUAAUUUCAGGAGGCAACUAAGGGCGUUUACACGGGUCCAACAGGGACAAAGCACCACGGCAAACGUCACAUGCUCUCUCUCUCUCGCCUUCUUUCUAUAUAAACCAUCGAACUUAGCAUCUCAGCCUCUAUAUAGCUCUACAUUUCGGGAGUUACAAACAAUCUAUAUCGCAGGAGGAAGUUUUUGGAUACGCAGAGAAGCAUUUACCUAAAAAAGAUGCAGAGAUUCAUCGCUAAAAGGCUUCUCUCCGGAAGAAAUUCCAAUUCCCUUCCGUCUCCGGCUUGCUGCUUCUCUCAGCUCGCCCAGAAGGAGGACAAUGACGUUCUUAUCCCCAAAAUGCCUCCUUUUGAUUACAGUCCUCCGCCGUAUACCGGUCCCUCCGCCAACGAGAUCAUGGCCAAGCGAAAAGAG
Molecule: unclassified non-coding RNA, 452 nt
Filed under: Hevea brasiliensis (rubber tree)
Lineage: Eukaryota; Viridiplantae; Streptophyta; Magnoliopsida; Malpighiales; Euphorbiaceae
Source: RNAcentral